Molecule: non-coding RNA, 94 nt
Filed under: Corynebacterium genitalium
Lineage: Bacteria; Bacillati; Actinomycetota; Actinomycetes; Mycobacteriales; Corynebacteriaceae
Also listed under: 1 other name
Description: TPP sequence
Rfam family: TPP riboswitch aptamer (THI element)
About the family: Vitamin B(1) in its active form thiamin pyrophosphate (TPP) is an essential coenzyme that is synthesised by coupling of pyrimidine and thiazole moieties in bacteria. The previously detected thiamin-regulatory element, thi box was extended, resulting in a new, highly conserved RNA secondary structure, the THI element, which is widely distributed in eubacteria and also occurs in some archaea.
Source: RNAcentral
ACACGUGACACGGGGUGCCCUCUGGGGGCUGAGAUAAGACCCGUUGAACCUGAUCCAGUUUGGACUGGCGGAGGGAUUGUCACGGGGACGCUCC